Molecule: non-coding RNA, 46 nt
Organism: Anolis carolinensis (green anole)
Lineage: Eukaryota; Metazoa; Chordata; Lepidosauria; Squamata; Anolidae
Source: Rfam
UUAAUGGCCUUUUUCAAGGCUAUAUCAUUUUAAAAACAAAUUGACU